UAGGGAAUCUUCGGCAAUGGGGGGAACCCUGACCGAGCAACGCCGCGUGCGUGAAGAAGGUUUUCGGAUCGUAAAGCUCUGUUGUUAAGGAAGAACGAGUGUGAGAAUGGAAAGUUCAUACUGUGACGGUACUUAACCAGAAAGGUACGGCUAACUACGUGCCAGCAGCCGCGGUAAUACGUAGGUCCCGAGCGUUGUCCGGACUUAUUGGGCGUAAAGCGAGCGCAGGCGGUUAGAUAAGUCUGAAGUUAAAGGCAGUGGCUCAACCAUUGUAGGCUUUGGAAACUGAUUAACGUGAGUGCAGAAGGGGAGAGAGGAAUUCCAUGUGUAGCGGGGAAAUGCGUGGAUAUAGGGAGGAACACCGGUGGCGAAAGCGGCUAUCUGGUCUGUAACUGACGCUGAGGCUCGAAAGCGUGGGGAGCGAACAGG
RNAcentral lists this ribosomal RNA (429 nucleotides) under Bacteroidota bacterium. Its description in RNAcentral is "Bacteroidetes bacterium partial 16S ribosomal RNA". It matches the Rfam family "Bacterial small subunit ribosomal RNA", at positions 355 to 776 of the family's 1533-position model. The record is from RNAcentral. Lineage: Bacteria; Pseudomonadati; Bacteroidota.